GGAUAAUUGUUCAAAACUUCAGGGGGUUUGUGCAAAGAUACGUGAUGGAACCCGACGGAUUCAAUCCGUGCUUUAUUAUUAAAAAAAAUAGGGAUAUAUAUUGGGCACACAACCUGCAGCGUCGCCACAACUAAGAUGGAAAAUGGCCAGCCCUUGAAAAACAGCCUUACUCGGCUGCAUCUUCAGUGAAGAAAGGAAAGCAGAAGUGCAAAUGGGAUAAAGAACGGAAAAGGAACAGAAUACACAGGCUGAAAAAAUCAGCCACCUCCUCGGCCCAUUUAAGACGACGCACGAUCCUUCGUCAUCCUCGCAACACCAGCAUCCGCCAUGACCACGCCCGCCGGUCGCCGUCAUAGCAUCAGACGCUUCCGGCGAGUGGCCCUGCAGCACCGGCGCUCCCGCCGGUGAGCGGCCUUGCAUCGGAUGCUUCCGGCGAGCAACCUCGUGGGGCUGGCGCUCCCGUCGGCGACCAGCCUUGCUUGCAGCCGCCCCAUUGUUGCUAUACCCCUCAUACGAGAGAGUCGUGCAAGAACGCUCGCCGCUGCUGCAACUUCUCGCCGCCGUUAGCUAAUUGCCGUCAAACACACCAUGUCUGGAUUUUGCUUGCAGAGCAUGGUUGUUGCUGGAUAUGGCACGAGCUUGCAGAAGCCUUGGCGGUGGCUCUUGCUUGUGCGACAGUGGGGUUCCCCGUUGGACGGAGAUAAGGGAAGAGAAGGGAGGAAGGAAAUUGGGGAUGAUGGGGACAAGAAGGGACGGCUAUGAAGAUAAGGUCGAGGAGGGGCAGCGGUGCGUGGGCCAGACGACACGCGUCACCCGCGCGAGAUGACUGGUGGAACAAGUCUAUGGCCGCUUUUCCAGAAUUUUUUUUUCUACGUCCGCUUGAAAACAAAUUCCCGUAGGAUAGGAUUAGAUUUAGCUAGAUUUGUUAAUAUAUAACUAGGUAACCUCGUGUAAACUCUCAACUAGAUCAAAUCGUCGUGUAUGCAUUUUUACACAAUUGCCG
Molecule: ribosomal RNA, 1003 nt
Filed under: Triticum aestivum (bread wheat)
Lineage: Eukaryota; Viridiplantae; Streptophyta; Magnoliopsida; Poales; Poaceae
Description: partial small subunit ribosomal RNA
Source: RNAcentral